Molecule: long non-coding RNA, 133 nt
Organism: Anguilla anguilla (European eel)
Lineage: Eukaryota; Metazoa; Chordata; Actinopteri; Anguilliformes; Anguillidae
Exons: 3
Source: RefSeq, a predicted model, not a curated record
GUAAAUGUUUCCACAGAGCAAGGAGCUUCACAAGAAGAACCAAUGGAUUGUGCAGAGCAAGGAGCUUCACAAGAAGAACCAAUGGAUUGUGCAGAGCAAGGAGCUUCACAAGAAGAACCAAUGGAUUAUGAAG